UGAGGAAUACAUCGGAAUCUACUCUGUCGUGGGGGAUAACGUAGGGAAACUUACGCUAAUACCGCAUACGACCUACGGGUGAAAGCAGGGGAUCUUCGGACCUUGCGCGAUUGAAUGAGCCGAUGUCGGAUUAGCUAGUUGGCGGGGUAAAGGCCCACCAAGGCGACGAUCCGUAGCUGGUCUGAGAGGAUGAUCAGUCACACUGGAACUGAGACACGGUCCAGACUCCUACGGGAGGCAGCAGCC
Molecule: ribosomal RNA, 246 nt
Filed under: uncultured Stenotrophomonas sp.
Lineage: Bacteria; Pseudomonadati; Pseudomonadota; Gammaproteobacteria; Lysobacterales; Lysobacteraceae
Description: partial 16S ribosomal RNA
Rfam family: Bacterial small subunit ribosomal RNA
Source: RNAcentral